CCUACGGGAGGCAGCAGUCGGGAAUAUUGGGCAAUGGACGCAACUCUGACCCAGCAAUACCGCGUGAAGGAUGAAGGUUCUCGGAUUGUAAACUUCUGUUCUAAAGGACGAAAAAAAUGACGGUACUUUAUAAGUAAGCUCAGGCUAACUAUGUGCUAGAAGCCGCGGUGAUACAUAGGGGGCAAGCGUUGUCCGGAAUGACUGGGUGUAAAGGGUGUGUAGGUGGCUGAUUAAGUUAGAUGUGAAAGCCCGAAGCUCAACUUCGGAACUGCCUUUAAAACUGGUUGGCUUGAGUGUGGGAGAGGGUAGUGGAACUCCUAGUGUAGCGGUGGAAUGCGUAGAUAUUAGGAAGAACAUCAGAGGCGAAGGCGACUAACUGGAACAUUACUGACAGUGAAACACGAAAGCGUGGGGAGCAAACAGGAUUAGAUACCCGGGUAGUC
This 443-nucleotide ribosomal RNA is filed under the name uncultured bacterium. RNAcentral describes it as "partial 16S ribosomal RNA". It matches the Rfam family "Bacterial small subunit ribosomal RNA", at positions 338 to 795 of the family's 1533-position model. The record is from RNAcentral.